RNAcentral lists this ribosomal RNA (432 nucleotides) under uncultured bacterium. Its description in RNAcentral is "partial 16S ribosomal RNA". It matches the Rfam family "Bacterial small subunit ribosomal RNA", at positions 29 to 507 of the family's 1533-position model. The record is from RNAcentral.
AACGAACGCUGGCGGCAUGCCUAACACAUGCAAGUCGAACGAGACCUUCGGGUCUAGUGGCGCACGGGUGCGUAACGCGUGGAACCUGCCCCUAGGUUCGGAAUAACUCCCCGGAAGGGGUGCCAAAAACGGAUAAUGUCCUUGGACCAAAGAUUUAUCGCCUUUGGAUGGGCCCGCGUUGGAUUAGCUAGUUGGUAGGGUAAAAGCCUACCAAGGCGACGAUCCAUAGCUGGUCUGAGAGGAUGAUCAGCCACACUGGGACUGAGACACGGCCCAGACUCCUACGGGAGGCAGCAGUGGGGAAUAUUGGACAAUGGGCGAAAGCCUGAUCCAGCAAUGCCGCGUGAGUGAUGAAGGCCUUAGGGUUGUAAAGCUCUUUUACCCGGGAUGAUAAUGACAGUACCGGGAGAAUAAGCUCCGGCUAACUCCGUG